CUUGACCGACCCGAUCCACAGCGGUUCCGCCCGGUCGCGGCCGUAGGCGGCCAGCAGCGCCUGGGCCUC
RNAcentral lists this antisense RNA (69 nucleotides) under Actinokineospora auranticolor. RNAcentral describes it as "ASpks TB sRNA". It matches the Rfam family "ASpks TB sRNA". Lineage: Bacteria; Bacillati; Actinomycetota; Actinomycetes; Pseudonocardiales; Pseudonocardiaceae. The record is from Rfam by way of RNAcentral.